RNAcentral lists this ribosomal RNA (486 nucleotides) under uncultured microorganism. RNAcentral describes it as "bacterial SSU rRNA". It matches the Rfam family "Bacterial small subunit ribosomal RNA", at positions 9 to 487 of the family's 1533-position model. The record is from RNAcentral.
GAGUUUGAUCGUGGCUCAGAUUGAACGCUGGCGGCAGGCCUAACACAUGCAAGUCGAGCGGAUGAAGGGAGCUUGCUCCUGGAUUCAGCGGCGGACGGGUGAGUAAUGCCUAGGAAUCUGCCUGGUAGUGGGGGAUAACGUCCGGAAACGGGCGCUGAUACCGCAUACGUCCUGAGGGAGAAAGUGGGGGAUCUUCGGACCUCACGCUAUCAGAUGAGCCUAGGUCGGAUUAGCUAGUUGGUGGGGUAAAGGCCUACCAAGGCGACGAUCCGUAACUGGUCUGAGAGGAUGAUCAGUCACACUGGAACUGAGACACGGUCCAGACUCCGUACGGGGAGGCAGCAGGUGGGGAAUAUUGGACAAUGGGGCGAAAGCCUGAUCCAGCCAUGCCGCGUGUGUGAAGAAGGUCUUCGGAUUGUAAAGCACUUUAAGUUGGGAGGAAGGGCAGUAAGUUAUACCUUGCUGUUUUGACGUUACCAACAGAAU